This 2124-nucleotide unclassified non-coding RNA is filed under the name Hevea brasiliensis (rubber tree). The record is from RNAcentral. Lineage: Eukaryota; Viridiplantae; Streptophyta; Magnoliopsida; Malpighiales; Euphorbiaceae.
GUUGGGGUAGGUCAACAAGUGAAGUAGUUAAAUGGAAGCAAACAGUGAAAGAAGUGAACAAGGAACUUAAAAGUUUUAGAAAAGGGAUGGGAUAACGUGCAGGUAACAUGCCCUUACUGAGAAAGACAACAUGAAAGGAAGAUGAAGCCAAACAAAUAAUGCAAGAAUAGGACAACCCAUCAAUUGAUACAUUAUUAUUUGUUCUUACCAGGAUUAUUAACUUGUAAAUUUCAUCUUCUUAUCCAGUUAAUCUAACAACUUACUGAAAAAUGGAGGAGAAAAAAUCAUCCUCUGUCUCAGAUGUUGGAGCUUGGGCUAUGAACAUUAUCAGUUCCACUGGAAUCAUAAUGGCUAAUAAACAACUCAUGUACCCCACCGGUUUUUAUUUUGCUUUUGCAACAACAUUGAGUGGCUUACACUUUUCUAUGACGGCCUUGGUUGGCUUGGUCUCAAAUGCUUCUGGUUAUUCUGCUUCUAAGCACAUUCCCUUGUGGGAACUUGUUUGGUUCUCAAUUGUUGCCAAUGUUUCAAUCACAGGGAUGAACUUGAGCCUCAUGCUCAACUCUGUUGGAUUUUAUCGGGUUUUGUAUUCCUUUUCUGUUCCUUCAACUAUACAUAUAUACAUACAUGUCUAAUGUGUUAAACCUUAUGUUUCUGCAAUUGUUUUUUCAUGUGUAGAUUUCAAAUUUAAGUAUGAUCUCUGUGGCUUGUGCAAUGGAAUGGUUUCUUCACCGCAAACACUACUCCAGGGAAGUCAAGAUGGCUGUCAUGAUAGUGGUUGUGGGUGUUGGUGUCUGCACCAUCACCGAUGUAAAUGUUAAUGCUAGAGGAUUUCUCUGUGCUUGUGUGGCAGUCUUGUCUUCAUCUUUACAACAAAUUGUGAGCUUUCCUCUUCAUCUUUCCACUUGUUUUUAUUGUUAUGAUAACUUUCAACUUAAUAAGUGGAAUUGAGCAUCUGCAAAUUCUCCAUUAAAGAGUACCUAAUCAUUUUUCAGUUGUUUAUAAAUGGCUUAAAUAACUUGUCAUAGUCAUUUUAGUCCUGUCAGGAUAUGCUAAACACACCAUUUAUGGAUUAAGCUAGACUACAGAUGCAAGUUUACCAAUUUGAUAGGAUUCAGAUAGCAGUUAUGUUCAUCUGAUAGAUUUCCAAAAUAACAAACGAGCAAAUUCUUUAUCGUUCCAUUCUUACGUGGAUCGAGAAAUGAGAAUGCUUACUGCUUUCUGUGUGCGCUCACCUGGAAAGGCAUGAUCUGAAAUAAACAAUCUGUUACUUUUUGCUGCUGGGAACAGUCAAUUGGCUCAUUGCAGAAGAAGUAUUCAAUAGGCUCUUUUGAACUGCUAAGCAAGACAGCUCCAAUACAACAGAUCCAUUCAUUGAUAACUACCUCAGUGGUAAACUUAUAUCAAAUUAUGCAUUAUCACCUGGUGGAUUUGUAAGUAUUUGCAUCUCUUGAGAAAAAAAAAAUACAAAUCCUUUUCUGCUCUCUUGACAUUAUAUAUUUCUGAUGCGAGUGUAAACAGUCUUCAGUUUUUCAUACUAGUGUCAUGCUCCCUGGCUUUAUUCUGCAAGGCGAGUUAGUAUCUGUGCACCGGACUUUUCUCUGCAGUAUCUUUCCAGGUUUUGGGGCACAUGAAAACUGUGUGUGUCCUUAAGUUGGGGUGGAUAGUCUUUGAUUCAGAAAUGACAGUGAAAAAUGUAAUUGGGAUGGCUGUUGCAGUUGCUGGAAUGGUGGUAUACAGCUGGGCAGUAGGGCUUGAGAAGCAAACAAGAACCAAGUUCAUCCCUGCUUUGAAACCCAAUUUAUCACAAGAGGAAAAGAAGGAGAAGACUCCAUUGAUUAAGGAUGUUGAGCUUGGCUAGUCUAAAGUAUAAAAUUAGUGUGUAUUCUCUGGCUACAAAGAAUUACAUUAACUACAGUUGCUUCAACAUUCUUUGCACCUACUCUACUCCAAAUGUGAAAGAACUUUUCUUCCCCCAUUUUUGCAGCUGUUAAAUUUUCUUUUAGUUGUUCAGAGGUCAUGUAUGUUAAAGUUGCACAGCACACAAUUUCUUCUUCUUCUUCAACGUUCUUUGUUAUUGGCAAUAUGUGUAUCCAUGAAUUCAGAAAAUAAAUGAAAUAAAAA